RNAcentral lists this ribosomal RNA (253 nucleotides) under uncultured bacterium. Its description in RNAcentral is "partial 16S ribosomal RNA". It matches the Rfam family "Bacterial small subunit ribosomal RNA", at positions 524 to 776 of the family's 1533-position model. The record is from RNAcentral.
UACGUAGGGGGCAAGCGUUGUCCGGAUUUAUUGGGCGUAAAGAGCGUGUAGGCGGCCGUACAGGUCAGCUGUGAAAACUCGAGGCUCAACCUCGAGACGUCGGUUGAAACCGUACGGCUAGAGUCCGGAAGAGGAGAGUGGAAUUCCCGGUGUAGCGGUGAAAUGCGCAGAUAUCAGGAGGAACACCGGUGGCGAAGGCGGGUCUCUGGGCCGAUACUGACGCUGAGGAGCGAAAGCGUGGGGAGCGAACAGG